RNAcentral lists this ribosomal RNA (797 nucleotides) under uncultured bacterium. Its description in RNAcentral is "bacterial SSU rRNA". It matches the Rfam family "Bacterial small subunit ribosomal RNA", at positions 8 to 796 of the family's 1533-position model. The record is from RNAcentral.
AGAGUUUGAUCAUGGCUCAGAUUGAACGCUGGCGGCACGCCUAACACAUGCAAGUCGAGCGGCAGCGAGAUUAGUAGCAAUACUAAUUGUCGGCGAGCGGCGGACGGGUGAGUAACACGUAGGAACCUGCCCUUUAGCGGGGGAUAACCAAGGGAAACUUUGGCUAAUACCGCAUACACUCUAGCGAGGAAAGCUGUCCGUAAGGGUAGCACUAGAGGAGGGGCCUGCGUCCGAUUAGCUAGUUGGAGAGGUAAAAGCUCCCCAAGGCGAUGAUCGGUAACUGGUCUGAGAGGACGACCAGUCACACUGGGACUGAGACACGGCCCAGACUCCUACGGGAGGCAGCAGUGGGGAAUAUUGGACAAUGGGGGCAACCCUGAUCCAGCGAUGCCGCGUGGGUGAAGAAGGCCUUCGGGUUGUAAAGCCCUUUAGGUUGGGAAGAAGGGUGUCGUGUUAAUAACACGAUACUUUGACGGUACCGACAGAAUAAGCACCGGCAAACUCUGUGCCAGCAGCCGCGGUAAUACAGAGGGUGCAAGCGUUAAUCGGAUUUACUGGGCGUAAAGGGCGCGUAGGCGGUAAUGUGAGUGUGAUGUGAAAGCCCUGGGCUUAACCUAGGAAGUGCAUUGCAAACGAUGUUACUGGAGUAUAAGAGAGGGUGGCGGAAUUUCCGGUGUAGCGGUGAAAUGCGUAGAGAUCGGAAGGAACGUCAAUGGCGAAGGCAGCCACCUGGCUUAAUACUGACGCUGAGGCGCGAAAGCGUGGGGAUCGAACAGGAUUAGAUACCCUAGUAGUCC